RNAcentral lists this ribosomal RNA (392 nucleotides) under uncultured bacterium. Its description in RNAcentral is "partial 16S ribosomal RNA". It matches the Rfam family "Bacterial small subunit ribosomal RNA", at positions 523 to 918 of the family's 1533-position model. The record is from RNAcentral.
AUACGGAGGAUCCGAGCGUUAUCCGGAUUUAUUGGGUUUAAAGGGUGCGCAGGCGGCCAUUUAAGUCAGCGGUUAAAUCGUGGGGCUCAACCCCAUUCUGCCGUUGAUACUGGGUGGCUUGAUUGCGGUCGAGGUUGGCGGAAUUCGUUGUGUAGAGGUGAAAUGCAUAGAUAUGACGAAGAACACCGAUUGCGUAGGCAGCUGACCAGACCGCAAAUGACGCUCAUGCACGAAAGUGCGGGGAUCGAACAGGAUUAGAUACCCUGGUAGUCCGCACAGUAAACGAUGAAUACUUGUUUUCGGCGAUAUAAUGUCGGAGGCAAAGCGAAAGCGAUAAGUAUUCCACCUGGGGAGUACGCCGGCAACGGUGAAACUCAAAUGAAUUGACGGGG